This 298-nucleotide ribosomal RNA is filed under the name uncultured eukaryote. Its description in RNAcentral is "partial 18S ribosomal RNA". It matches the Rfam family "Eukaryotic small subunit ribosomal RNA", at positions 1470 to 1796 of the family's 1831-position model. The record is from RNAcentral.
CCCUUAGACACUCUAGGCGGCACGCGCGCUACAAUGGGUGGAAGACCGUGUUACUGCCUUCGAAAGAAGGGGUGAAUCACGAAUUCUUACCCGUGAAUGGGAUAGUUUGUUGCAAUUUUCGGACUUGAACUAGGAAUCCCUUGUAAGCAUGCUCAAGAAUAGCGUGUUGAAUACGUCCCUGCCGUUUGUACACACCGCCCGUCGUUUCUUCCGACUGAUACUCAUUGUGAGUUGCAAGGACCCUUUAUUGGGAAAUUGCUGCGAAUGCUUCGUAUUGGAGGAAGAAAAAGUCGUAACA